AUGAACAAAAUAAGAUGCAAGUCUUACCAACCGGAGAGUCGUCCGGUGCACCUUCAAUCUAAUAAGACGAGAAAACCAGAGGUGAGUGCAUUUUAUUUUAAUUCUCCUUCAACUUUUUCUAUUACUCGUUCUGAAUUUCUUUGCGUUUCUGAAUCUAUUCUGUUGCGAUACAUUCUGCGUAAGUUGUUGCAGUUGUUGAGUUGGAGAAGGUUGAUGAAGGUUGGGAGCAAAGAUGAUGAAUGCUAG
Molecule: non-coding RNA, 246 nt
Organism: Vicia faba (fava bean)
Lineage: Eukaryota; Viridiplantae; Streptophyta; Magnoliopsida; Fabales; Fabaceae
Source: the annotation of a GenBank genome assembly